RNAcentral lists this ribosomal RNA (253 nucleotides) under uncultured bacterium. RNAcentral describes it as "partial 16S ribosomal RNA". It matches the Rfam family "Bacterial small subunit ribosomal RNA", at positions 524 to 776 of the family's 1533-position model. The record is from RNAcentral.
UACGAAGGGGGCAAGCGUUGUUCGGAAUUAUUGGGCGUAAAGGGAGCGUAGGCGGUUCGGCAAGUCUUUAGUGAAAUCUCUGGGCUCAACUCAGAGUCUGCUGGAGAAACUGCCGGGCUGGAGUAUGGGAGAGGUGAGUGGAAUUCCCGGUGUAGCAGUGAAAUGCGUAGAUAUCGGGAGGAACACCUGUGGCGAAAGCGGCUCACUGGACCAUUACUGACGCUGAUGCUCGAAAGCUAGGGGAGCAAACAGG